UGGGUAGCUCAGAAUCAAGUCUUGGAGGAC
Molecule: non-coding RNA, 30 nt
Filed under: Mus musculus (house mouse)
Lineage: Eukaryota; Metazoa; Chordata; Mammalia; Rodentia; Muridae
Source: RNAcentral